RNAcentral lists this ribosomal RNA (497 nucleotides) under uncultured bacterium. Its description in RNAcentral is "partial 16S ribosomal RNA". It matches the Rfam family "Bacterial small subunit ribosomal RNA", at positions 28 to 507 of the family's 1533-position model. The record is from RNAcentral.
GAUGAACGCUGGCGGCGUGCCUAAUACAUGCAAGUCGAGCGAACAGACGAGGAGCUUGCUCCUCUGACGUUAGCGGCGGACGGGUGAGUAACACGUGGAUAACCUACCUAUAAGACUGGGAUAACUUCGGGAAACCGGAGCUAAUACCGGAUAAUAUAUUGAACCGCAUGGUUCAAUAGUGAAAGACGGUUUUGCUGUCACUUAUAGAUGGAUCCGCGCCGCAUUAGCUAGUUGGUAAGGUAACGGCUUACCAAGGCAACGAUGCGUAGCCGACCUGAGAGGGUGAUCGGCCACACUGGAACUGAGACACGGUCCAGACUCCUACGGGAGGCAGCAGUAGGGAAUCUUACGCAAUGGGCGAAAGCAUGACGGAGCAACGCCGAGUGAGUGAUGAAGGUCUUCGGAUCGUAAAACUCUGUUAUUAGGGAAGAACAAAUGUGUAAGUAACUAUGCACGUCUUGACGGUACCUAAUCAGAAAGCCACGGCUAACUACGUG